Molecule: unclassified non-coding RNA, 410 nt
Filed under: Cercozoa sp.
Lineage: Eukaryota; Cercozoa
Description: partial contains small subunit ribosomal RNA, internal transcribed spacer 1, and 5.8S ribosomal RNA
Rfam family: Eukaryotic small subunit ribosomal RNA (bases 1-47)
Source: RNAcentral
AAAGUCGUAACAAGGUUUCCGUAGGUGAACCUGCGGAAGGAUCAUUAACACGUAUCCAACGUUAAACCCCCCUGUGAACUUUUAGCGUGCUCUUGUGUCCUGUAUAGGAACAGCAAUCCUGGUAAAUCAGCCCUAGAAAAGUUUUGAUUCAGGACCUCUGUCUAAAAGGAUGCAAUUGAGCGCUCGAGGCAAGUGGCUUGGUUUCCCCAAGUGAUUAGCGUCUGAAAGUGGCGCUGGUUGUGUAAGGAUAACGCUUUACGAUUGCUGUAGGCCGAACACCGGCCGGCGACUCGGCCACCGGGCUCACGCCCCCUAAUAACACCAGUAGUUAUCUUAAGGCACCACUCCACUGCAAGUGCGCCGGAGCUGGUGAAAACGAACAACUGUUAACAAUGGAUAUCUUGGUUCUC